AGAGUUUGAUCAUGGCUCAGAUUGAACGCUGGCGGCAGGCUUAACACAUGCAAGUCGAGCGGGGAUAGGGUGCUUGCACCUGAUUCCUAGCGGCGGACGGGUGAGUAAUGCUUAGGAAUCUGCCUAUUAGUGGGGGACAACAUUCCGAAAGGGAUGCUAAUACCGCAUACGCCCUACGGGGGAAAGCAGGGGAUCUUCGGACCUUGCGCUAAUAGAUGAGCCUAAGUCGGAUUAGCUAGUUGGUGGGGUAAAGGCCUACCAAGGCGACGAUCUGUAGCGGGUCUGAGAGGAUGAUCCGCCACACUGGGACUGAGACACGGCCCAGACUCCUACGGGAGGCAGCAGUGGGGAAUAUUGGACAAUGGGGGGAACCCUGAUCCAGCCAUGCCGCGUGUGUGAAGAAGGCCUUUUGGUUGUAAAGCACUUUAAGCGAGGAGGAGGCGCUCUAGGAUAAUACCCUAGAUGCGUGGACGUUACUCGCAGAAUAAGCACCGGCUAACUCUGUGCCAGCAGCCGCGGUAAUACAGAGGGUGCGAGCGUUAAUCGGAUUUACUGGGCGUAAAGCGCGCGUAGGUGGCUAAUUAAGUCAAAUGUGAAAUCCCCGAGCUUAACUUGGGAAUUGCAUUCGAUACUGGUUAGCUAGAGUAUGGGAGAGGGAUGGUAGAAUUCCAGGUGUAGCGGUGAAAUGCGUAGAGAUCUGGGAGGAAUACCGAUGGCGAAGGC
This 723-nucleotide ribosomal RNA is filed under the name Acinetobacter sp. Hg6. RNAcentral's name for it is "bacterial SSU rRNA". It matches the Rfam family "Bacterial small subunit ribosomal RNA", at positions 8 to 722 of the family's 1533-position model. The record is from RNAcentral. Lineage: Bacteria; Pseudomonadati; Pseudomonadota; Gammaproteobacteria; Moraxellales; Moraxellaceae.